GUCGGCUACGGCGACAUGGUGCCCAAGACGUACGCCGGCAUGUUCGUGGGCGCCCUGUGCGCGCUCGCCGGCGUGCUCACCAUCGCGCUUCCCGUGCCCGUGAUCGUGUCCAAC
Molecule: non-coding RNA, 114 nt
Organism: Ixodes scapularis (black-legged tick)
Lineage: Eukaryota; Metazoa; Arthropoda; Arachnida; Ixodida; Ixodidae
Source: Rfam